Molecule: long non-coding RNA, 2618 nt
Organism: Acinonyx jubatus (cheetah)
Lineage: Eukaryota; Metazoa; Chordata; Mammalia; Carnivora; Felidae
Exons: 3
Source: RefSeq, a predicted model, not a curated record
GGAAAAGAAAAGAAUGGAUACUUUGAGGCUCUGAACAGCUGCUACCCCUAUGAUAACAGAGCUGAUUUCGCACUGUGUUGGGCUGUCCACAGCCUGUAUGACCCGUUCGCUGGCCCAACAUUUUGGGGGCUGCAGGGAAAUUUUCUGAGGACUUUGCCCCUGGGAACCACUCAACCGAAGCCUGAGCAGGGGCCCCAGGAUAGCCAAAGCCGAAGCAUCUUUUUGCUAUUGAUCAGCAAGUUUCCAAAAUAAGAUGCCCUGCCAGCCUUUGGUCAGACCUCAGAAGUUGUCCCGCUCCAUUCCACACUUGCCUUCCUCAGUCUUCAGAAAUGGACCGGUAGACCAUUUGUGCCCGCAGUGUGGCUCAGUCACGGCCCCCCACCCCUCAAUUCGUGAACACCGUGUGAGCACUCAGUGAGGAGGGGCACUUGGCGAAAAGAGCCAGGAGCAGCUUGGAGCUCAGGGCUCCAGGUGAGGAAACAAGGCAGGUACGAGCACCGUUCACAUCAACACAGAGGGAAUGUCUGGCACACAGAGAAUGCCCAGCAUUUGUAGGGCAAAUGUACGGUGGGUGUGGGGGUGGGGGUGCUCACACAUCGGCUGUCUCUUCUCAGAUGAAGCUUUCAGCAGAACUGGGUUUUGAGGCAUGCAUGGGCAGCUGUUAUCACAUGAUGGGGAUGUGGAGGAGAGGUGGGGUGUCGUUUGAAGAAGAGGGAACAGCAUAUGCGAAGACAUGGAGGCCGGAAGCAGCACAGGGUUGCCAUGGUAUUACAAGCAGGUCUGGAGGAACACGGGGAAAUGGGGUGGGGGAAAAGCAGGGUGCGCGAGCAGGAGAUUGGGCUGAAGAGGGAGGCGGCUUUAUCCCAUGGCAGUGGGGAGCUCAUCAAAGGUUUUCAGCCCGGGAAAGGCAUGAUGAUAUUUUCUUUUUAGGAAGGUCACUCUGGUAGUCUGUGUGGGGCUGAGAAGGACAGAAGGGAGACAGCCAGGGGGCUGGAGGCUGUCCUAAUGGUCCAAGUGAGAGGUGGUUCAGCCUGACUUAGGGCAGCAGUAGGGUUGAGGACAAGAGACUGAUUCUAGACACCUUUGCGCCCUAGAACGGACCAGGCUAGGUGACUCAUCUGUCAAGUAUGUAUUACGCUCCUUCUUCAUGUUUAAGAAAACAUGUACGUGUGUGAGAGAGGAGAGGUACAGAGAUGGAGGAGACCCGUCCCUACCCUUACAGGGGGAGGCCGACACACAUCUGUUCACCGUGUGGACGGAGUGCCUGCUUGGCUCGUGCGCACAGAGGAACACAACAGAAGGUCUGCAGAAGCCAACUGUGCCAGGAGCAGUGCCACGAAGUGCCGUAGACAGAGGGUCAGGCUCUGUGCUAGGCACUAAGGGUGUGGGCAGAUUCAGGCGCAGUUUACAAGGAUCCCUUGCUUGGUAGGCUUGGUGAACUCACAGACCAAGGCGGAGAAGAAAGGAAACGUUCGUCGCCUUUUGAGGACGUGCCAGCACUUAUCGAAGUGUUUUUUGCUUGCCGAAUCCUAUGUUCAGCAAGGAUCCAGGGAUACCUACGACAAGAGCCUGCCCUCAACUCUGGUGGGAAGACAUAGAAAUGAACAGGUAUGGUGAGGUACAGCGAAACCAUCGGAGGGUUUGAUCAGAGGUCUGACACGAGCUAAAUUAAGUUUUAACGUGAACAUCAUCGCUCUGCUUGCUGUGUAGACAAUAAACCUUAGGAGACUAAGGGUGGGAGUCAGAAGACCAGUGAAGGUUGGUGUAGUUGAUCAGAACAGAGACACAACAGUGGCCUGGGCAGUUGCAUCACAGCCAGGGGGUCCCUGGUUUGGCCAAGAGCUCUGUUUUAAUACUCUGGGGAGCAGGGAGACUAGGGUUUUCCACUAACUCUUGGCUCCCCCACUAAUUGGCCUUGUUGGGUCUCUGAACAGGUCUUUUCAUGACCGAUGUGAGAUGCUUGGGUCAGAGUGCCUCUAAGGUUCCUGUCUUCUCUAAGGUUCAAUGUCAUUACCCUGCUCACCUUCUGCCAGUGACUUUGUACAGCUAUGUAAACCCUGUACCAUCGCCUCACGGAGCCACCUCCCACAUCAUUUUCUGCCACUUUCCGAAUCAUUGCUCUGCUCCAGCCACACUGGCUUCCUCUUUGUUCCUCAGAGAGUCAAGCUUGUCCCUACCUCAGCGCCUUUUCACCUGCUGUUCCCUCAACUUAGGAAGUACUUGCCCUCGAUCGUCACAUGGUUGGGUCCUUCUCACCCUGAUCUCAGCAGAAACUUUGUUUGCUCAGAGAGGCCAUUUCUAACUGCCUUGACGUAGGUGGAUCUGCAGUCUGCCAUAUUGUUUCUCCUAGUUUACAUUUGUCUUAGAACUUAUAAUGAACUGAAGUCCUCUUACUCAGUUGUUUAUAUCUUUAUUGUCUAUUUCCCCAUACAACAUCAGUUCCAUGAGAGCAGAGACCUUGUCUGUCUUUGUUCAUUAUGAUUAUCCAGUGCUUCGAACAGUGUGUGGUCAGUACAUAGACAAUAAGUAUUGAAUCAUCGAGUGAAUAAAUGAAUGGAUGAAUGAGCCAUCUUUCAGAUGUUUGUAACAUAUAAUCUAGAGCAGGAUGUUAUCCAUUU